Molecule: non-coding RNA, 515 nt
Organism: Pelobates cultripes (western spadefoot toad)
Lineage: Eukaryota; Metazoa; Chordata; Amphibia; Anura; Pelobatidae
Source: the annotation of a GenBank genome assembly
CUCUAGUGAAAAUUUUUACUAGGGAAGGCUUUCCUAGGGAGAUUCUAUCUGACUAGGGGACCCAGUUUACGGCAACUGUAACCCAACAGUUAUGGCAAAGUAGCAGCGUAAAAUCCCUGUUUAGCUCUCCCUACCACCCACAGACGAAAGGACUUUGUGAACGCUUUAAUGGCACGCUCAAGCAGAUGCUUAGGAUGUUCGCAGUCUCCUUUUGGCGGUGGGAAAGGUUUCUCCCUCAUCUCCUGUUUGCCUAACGUGAAGUAUCCCAGGUGUCUACAGGGCCCCUUCGAACUCCUUUACGGGAGAAAAGUACAGGGACCCCUUGAUCUCAUACGGGAGCACUGGGAGGGUAACACAGGAGAGGAAGGAAUACCUAUCAUGCCGUACGUUCUGGAAUUGAGGGAUCGCUUGCAGGCUCUCACCGAUUCUGUCACUCAAGGGCGGAGUGAACUUUAGUCCAAGUCUCACGAAUAGAAGUAAGGUGAUUAUCCUGGGCAGGAACAGCUGUGUCAGAG